Molecule: non-coding RNA, 626 nt
Organism: Heterocephalus glaber (naked mole-rat)
Lineage: Eukaryota; Metazoa; Chordata; Mammalia; Rodentia; Bathyergidae
Source: RefSeq, a predicted model, not a curated record
CUUUGCUGGUGAGAAUAUAAAAUGGUGUCAAAGGGUUGAAUUGCACUCUCCAUAAGAGAUACGUUGGAGUCUAACUCCCCAGUACCUCAGAAGGUGGCUUCAUUUGGUCCAAUUAUUUGAAUUAUGGGGAAGAGCCAGAAGUCACACAGUGCCAGAUCAGGUGAACAAGAUGGAUAAGGACACAGCCGAGUGUUUGUACAAGCCUGCUUUUCCAUUGGAUGGCACUCAGCAGCAGCAUUCACUGAAUUCUUAAAUCAAACCUCGUGAAGAUAUGAAAGAGGACUUCCAGAAUGGCUUCAGAAAGUGCCAAGAAUGAUAGGGAACCACACUUGGGAAACCAGCCGCCAUGUUGGGAGGACAGUGAAGAAGCGUUAGGAAGAAGUCCACGUGACUUCCUGCCAAGAGCCAACCCCAGUUUGCCAGCCACAGAAAAGGACCACCUUGAGAAAGGAUCCUCCAGCUCCAGCAGGCCUUCAGAUGACUACAGUCACCAGCCAUCUCCUGCCAAUCACCCCAGGAGAGGCCCUGGCCAGAGCGGGCCAGCUAAACCCCUCCCACAGCCCUACCUCAGAAACGGUACGAGAUCGGAAAUGUUUGUUAUUGCUCUGAAAUACAAAUCUUGGGGG